GACGAACGCUGGCGGCGUGCUUAACACAUGCAAGUCGAACGAUGAAGCCUAGCUUGCUAGGUGGAUUAGUGGCGAACGGGUGAGUAAUACGUGAGUAACCUACCUUUAACUCUGGGAUAAGCCUGGGAAACUGGGUCUAAUACCGGAUACGACCAAUCUCCGCAUGGGGUGUUGGUGGAAAGCGUUAUGUAGUGGUUAUAGAUGGGCUCACGGCCUAUCAGCUUGUUGGUGAGGUAACGGCUCACCAAGGCGACGACGGGUAGCCGGCCUGAGAGGGUGACCGGCCACACUGGGACUGAGACACGGCCCAGACUCCUACGGGAGGCAGCAGUGGGGAAUAUUGCACAAUGGGCGCAAGCCUGAUGCAGCGACGCCGCGUGAGGGAUGACGGCCUUCGGGUUGUAAACCUCUGUUAGCAGGGAAGAAGAGAGAUUGACGGUACCUGCAGAGAAAGCGCCGGCUAACUACGUGCCAGCAGCCGCGGUAAUACGUAGGGCGCGAGCGUUGUCCGGAAUUAUUGGGCGUAAAGAGCUUGUAGGCGGUUUGUCGCGUCUGCUGUGAAAGGCCGGGGCUUAACUCCGUGUAUUGCAGUGGGUACGGGCAGACUAGAGUGCAGUAGGGGAGACUGGAAUUCCUGGUGUAGCGGUGGAAUGCGCAGAUAUCAAGAGGAACACCGAUGGCGAAGGCAGGUCUCUGGGCUGUAACUGACGCUGAGAAGCGAAAGCAUGGGGAGCGAACAGG
Molecule: ribosomal RNA, 741 nt
Filed under: Rothia mucilaginosa
Lineage: Bacteria; Bacillati; Actinomycetota; Actinomycetes; Micrococcales; Micrococcaceae
Description: bacterial SSU rRNA
Rfam family: Bacterial small subunit ribosomal RNA
Source: RNAcentral